AUGUGUCAGGCUGAGCGUGCGAUCCGGGGUGCGUGUGUCCGGCCAAGCUUGCGAUGCAGGUGCGAGUGUGAUGUGGGUGCAUGUGUCAGGCUGAGCGUGCGAUGCAGGUGCAUGUGUCAGGCUGAGCGUGCGAUGCAGGUGUGUGUGUCCAGCCGAGCGUGCAAUGCAGGUGAGAGUGUGAUGCGUGUGUGUGUGUCAGGCUGAGCGUGCGACGCAGGUG
This 220-nucleotide long non-coding RNA is filed under the name Chrysemys picta bellii (western painted turtle). RNAcentral's name for it is "lncRNA (ENSCPBG00000024455.1)". The record is from RNAcentral. Lineage: Eukaryota; Metazoa; Chordata; Testudines; Emydidae.